GUGAUCGUAGCUUAACCGGCAAAGCACGCGGCUGUGACCCGCGCAGAUAUCGGAUCAUUCCCGAUCGAUCACCCCA
This 76-nucleotide transfer RNA is filed under the name Burkholderiales bacterium RIFCSPLOWO2_02_FULL_57_36. RNAcentral describes it as "tRNA-His". The record is from RNAcentral. Lineage: Bacteria; Pseudomonadati; Pseudomonadota; Betaproteobacteria; Burkholderiales.